GAUGUAUGAUUGGCCGGUUCUAUUCACCUUGCUAGAGUUCCUUGGUAAAAUUAACAAUCUCAAACAAAAUGCAAACUUUGACAUUUAGAUAUGAGUUGUACUUUUUCUUCAGUCCACGAGAGUAUUUAUCUGCUCCCUUCAGCAUGGGAUAAUUCUGGUGCAAAAUUGUGUUGUGAGCAGUGAUAUUGCCUGAUUGCUCAUCUUCGAGAUGGGUGACAUGGAUGAUAUGGAAGAUUUUGAAGGCUUUGGUGAUGAAGAUG
This 260-nucleotide long non-coding RNA is filed under the name Hordeum vulgare. RNAcentral's name for it is "long non-coding RNA (HVUL_LNC006075)". Lineage: Eukaryota; Viridiplantae; Streptophyta; Magnoliopsida; Poales; Poaceae. The record is from RNAcentral.